This 310-nucleotide small nuclear RNA is filed under the name Erinaceus europaeus (western European hedgehog). Its description in RNAcentral is "7SK RNA". It matches the Rfam family "7SK RNA". Rfam says of the family: 7SK was discovered as an abundant small nuclear RNA in the mid-70s but a possible function has only recently been suggested. Two independent studies have found that 7SK RNA binds the CDK9/cyclin T complex (known as elongation factor P-TEFb). The record is from Rfam by way of RNAcentral. Lineage: Eukaryota; Metazoa; Chordata; Mammalia; Eulipotyphla; Erinaceidae.
CAAUGUGAUGGUAAUUUAACUCUGAUGGAAAUUUCUUCAUUGUUUAACCAGGAUUGAAGGGCUGAACUGAUUGGGUAGGCAGCUGUCUUCUGCCUUUCAUCCCUCUUUUUUCAUGUGAAUCAUUCCUGAAACUGUACAUAGUUCAAGAAGAUGAUUUACCCCAGUUAAAAAAAAAAAAAAAAACCUACUGUUUCGGUUGCUGAGCAUUUCUGCUAAAACCACUAAACAAGUUCUCAAGGUUCAUUUAUAAUAAAAUGUAAGAUGACCAGACUUGUAGGAGUUCAAACACAGCCAAGGUAAGUGCUCCCUU